RNAcentral lists this ribosomal RNA (271 nucleotides) under uncultured bacterium. RNAcentral's name for it is "partial 16S ribosomal RNA". It matches the Rfam family "Bacterial small subunit ribosomal RNA", at positions 524 to 794 of the family's 1533-position model. The record is from RNAcentral.
UACGUAGGGGGCAAGCGUUGUCCGGAUUUACUGGGUGUAAAGGGCGCGUAGGCGGGUUUGUAAGUCAGUGGUGAAAUCCUGCGGCUUAACCGUAGAACUGUCUCUGAUACUGCAAAUCUUGAGUUCGGAAGAGAGUAGCGGAAUUCCAGGUGUAGUGGUGAAAUACGUAGAUAUCUGGAAGAACACCAGUGGCGAAGGCGGCUACUUGGUCCGUAACUGACGCUGAGGCGCGAAAGCAUGGGGAGCGAACAGGAUUAGAUACCCGUGUAGU